Molecule: long non-coding RNA, 2974 nt
Organism: Cyprinus carpio (common carp)
Lineage: Eukaryota; Metazoa; Chordata; Actinopteri; Cypriniformes; Cyprinidae
Source: Ensembl
AUGCUGAAAUUGUUAAAAACAGUCUGCACCUACAGCUCUUUUCCUUAUCAGUGGUCUGACAGAAUUAAACAGAGUGAUUUCCUGCUGGAUCUUUGCUCACAUGUGAAGGACUAUGAGACUCAAACAGGCAGGAGUCUCCUUCCAGCAUUACAGUCAGUUUUCCAGUCAGCACCUGAUGUCUGGAUCAUAGAUCUCUCACGGAGAAAGAGCUCCAUCCUCCUGGAAGUACUGAAACUCCAAACAGAGAAGAAACCAGUAGAGCUGAGAGGAUGUUCAGAGGAAGAGAGUGAAGUGAUGAGUUUACUUCAGUGUCUGCCCUACAUCUCACAGCUGAGUUGUUCUGAGCUGUGUUUGUUAACACUAGUUAAAGUGGUCCAGUACAGAGAGAAUCCAGAGUUGGUGACUUUACUGUUGGAGGUUCUUGGCUUCUCCCUCAGUCUGGAAGGACAUUUACCCAGUAAAACCUGCAGGUCUGUGGGGAGAGUUUUGCCUUUCUCUUCUGACAGACUCAACCUCACUCUAAAAUCAAAAGCCAUCUCUCUAAAAGGAACAAGGCUUCUUUUCAGACACAUCAAAAACUUACACACACUCAGGCUGAGUGGUUAUAUGGUGGUGAGAAUAGCGGAGGCAUUGAGGUCUAUGUGGGUUCAAACUCCUGUCACUGUUUAUGAACUCACACUUAACCUGAAUAUGGAACAGUGGUCAGAGAGGAAGCUGUCCAGGGUCCUGAGCAAUUUGGCCAUCAUUCUGAGACUCUGGACUGUCCAGUGUUUGAAUUUGACUGAAUACAAUAUGUUGUCUGUUUCUCUAUCUGUCCUACUGUGUCACCAGGGACCAGUGAUUCUCAGACUAUCUAAAGAAACUCUCCGGAAGCUGGUUGAAUUUGUCUGUGAAGCUCAGGAAGAGGAACUGACUCAGUGCUUCCUGCAGAAAGUGGGUGGAGAUCUGACUUCCUGUUCCUUGAGCUGGGAAGAGCUUCACUAUUUCCUGCAGCACAAGAUUCCACACAUCACUGUGGACCUCAGAAAGAGCAACAUUGGAUGUAAUGUCAGAAAAAUGUUGCCAUUUUUUAACAGGAUUCAAUUUAAACGGAUCAGCUCUACCUUCAUGCUGUCUGUAAUCAGAGAGAUCUAUGAGUCCGGCUCUGUUGGUUUUGUGUCCAGUCUGUUGAGUUCAGUUGAGAACUACAUUAACCUGCAGAGCAGAGAGCUGGACUCUGUUCACUGUGCGGCCCUGCGCUUCACACUGCAGCACUGCACUGCAGUUUCACUCAAUCUACAGUGGACCUCCAUACCAGAGGAAGAGCUGGAGAGCAUUCUGCCUCUCUUCACACAUGUGUCCCACCUCAGUGUUGACAGGCUGCUAUUACGGAAGAUGAUGCACUGCUGCAGUGUCUCUGACAUCCAGCAAGAGACAGCAGCAGUUCUGCUCUCCAUCCUGCAGCACAAGUUGGACUUCUCCUGCUGUUCUGCUCUGGAUCUGACAGCAAACACAGACUCAGAGCCUCUACAUCUGACCAUUGAGGACUGCUGUGUGAUGUCCAGAGUCAUUCAGAGUGCUCAUUCAGACACAAAGACACAACUGAUUCUGCAGGACUGUGAGAUUAAUACAGCUGGAAUUGAUCAGCUGUUCCCAGUGUUACAUUCUGUUAAACUAUGCUGUGCUAAAUCUCUACUGCUUCAGUUUCUGGCUCAUGUGAGGCCUGAGGAAGCUAAGUCUCUUUCUCAAGCGCUGGGUGAAGAGCUUAACCUCAGUCAGACUCAGCUGAAUCCGCAGGUCUGUAGAGGUCUGAAGCUGAUUCUGGAAUAUUCUGAAGGACUGACUGAACUGGAUCUGAGUCAGUGCUGUCUCACCGAUGACAGCCUGGGUCUGCUGCUCCCAAACCUCCACAAAGUGCAAAACAUUGAUUUUAGUGGCAAUAGCAUCACUGACUUUUUGGCUCCAAAAAUCUACAGUAUCGUCACUCGCAACAGUAACAUAAAGACAGUAAGGCUCUUCAACAACAAAAUUGAAUUCAAAGCGCUCUUUCGCACAGACCCCCGUUUUGAGAUCUGGUGAUGCCAAGAAACACUCUCUGGAAUCAACAAGCAGGUGAAAUAACCAAUGAAGAUAAGGUAACAGGUGUAAAAACCUUUGAGGAAUCUGCCCAACCAGAGUCCUAUGAAUCAAGCCACCAAGCCAUAAACCACAUUCAUGUUAUCAUCACUUUCAGUCAUAAUCAACAGUUGGUUUCUGUUGCAUUAACUAUGACAACUAUAACUAUUAACUAUCUCCUUUAUAAACUGUCUUUUCACUUCUCCUCCCUUUAUAUUAUUUGCAUCAUGCAUGUUAUAGUUCUGAAUUUUUUUAUUUUGCUUUUAUUUCUAUAUACAUUUUUAAUUUACCUUUUAAUUUAGUUUUUGUUUAUUCUUAUUCUAUAAUUCUUAUUUUUUUAUUUAUUUUUUUAUUUUCAUUUUAAUUGUAGUAGCCUGUUUUAACAGUUCCAAAGUAAAUCUACUUACUGGAUUUAUUUAAAAAUAGAUUUGUAAGAAGAUAAUCAGUUUUCUAGUUUCACUUUUAUUUUUUUAGUUUUAGUAUUUUAGCACUGCCAAAGAAUAGCUACUCACUGGAAUCCUUUAAAAACUAUUUUGUAAAAACUUAAUCAGCAUUACAUUUCCAAGAACAGUUUAAUGCUACUAUAAAAUAAGCAUAAUCUAUAUAAAUUGGGAGUCUUUUAUUUGUUUAAUUGCUUAAAAAAAUGCAUGUAAAGCUAUUGACAUAAAACCUUAUGAAUGCUGAAAAAAGGCUUUUGAAUGCUUAUAUUUCAAGUAAAAUACUGCAGCUUUGACAUCUUGCUGUUUUAAUAUCAGCAUCAUUCCAGUAGAGAGCAGCAAUGAUUUAUUAAUAACAAGAGCCCAGAAAAUUCACAAGCGAAGUUAGCAAGGGGGACAUACACAUGACACAACCAAAAUAAAGAGCAAGUGCAUUUAUACCA